RNAcentral lists this ribosomal RNA (450 nucleotides) under uncultured bacterium. RNAcentral describes it as "partial 16S ribosomal RNA". It matches the Rfam family "Bacterial small subunit ribosomal RNA", at positions 354 to 796 of the family's 1533-position model. The record is from RNAcentral.
GUGGGGAAUUUUGGACAAUGGGGGCAACCCUGAUCCAGCCAUGCCGCGUGCGGGAAGAAGGCCUUCGGGUUGUAAACCGCUUUUGUCAGGGAAGAAAUCCUUUGGGUUAAUACCUCGGAGGGAUGACGGUACCUGAAGAAUAAGCACCGGCUAACUACGUGCCAGCAGCCGCGGUAAUACGUAGGGUGCGAGCGUUAAUCGGAAUUACUGGGCGUAAAGCGUGCGCAGGCGGUUUUGUACGAUCGAUGUGAAAUCCCCGGGCUCAACCUGGGAACUGCAGUGGUGACUGCAAGGCUGGAGUGCGGCAGAGGGGGAUGGAAUUCCGCGUGUAGCAGUGAAAUGCGUAGAUAUGCGGAGGAACACCGAUGGCGAAGGCAAUCCCCUGGGCCUGCACUGACGCUCAUGCACGAAAGCGUGGGGAGCAAACAGGAUUAGAAACCCCAGUAGUCC